GUAAGUUGGGCAGUUAACUUCGGGAUUUAGUCUCCAAACAGACAAGUGAUAAAAUAUAAUCGCUAAUUCUGAGGAAAGUCCGCCCACCCGCAGGCAAUUUUGUCUGCGACAAAGUCAUCCGUGAAAAUGGAUUGCUGUGAAGCAAAGCUCUGUUACAGAAACGGCACAGCUCAUCCCGAGUUAUGAAAACUUGGUUGGAACUUUGAAGGAUGAGAUUUGAUGAAACGAGCAACUUGACUGGUGCAAGGUUUGAAACCGCAUAGUUGAAUGUUAACACGUUUGGUUUGCUAUUAAUUUAACGACGAACGACAAAAAGUGGCUUAUACCCAACUUAC
RNAcentral lists this RNase P RNA (335 nucleotides) under uncultured archaeon. Its description in RNAcentral is "RNaseP_arch". It matches the Rfam family "Archaeal RNase P". From Rfam's summary of the family: Ribonuclease P (RNase P) is a ubiquitous endoribonuclease, found in archaea, bacteria and eukarya as well as chloroplasts and mitochondria. Its best characterised activity is the generation of mature 5'-ends of tRNAs by cleaving the 5'-leader elements of precursor-tRNAs. Cellular RNase Ps are ribonucleoproteins. The record is from RNAcentral.